RNAcentral lists this ribosomal RNA (485 nucleotides) under uncultured bacterium. Its description in RNAcentral is "bacterial SSU rRNA". It matches the Rfam family "Bacterial small subunit ribosomal RNA", at positions 29 to 507 of the family's 1533-position model. The record is from RNAcentral.
AUUGAACGCUGGCGGCAUGCCUAACACAUGCAAGUCGAACGGUAACAGGCCUUCGGGCGCUGACGAGUGGCGGACGGGUGAGUAACGCGUGGGAAUCUGCCUAGUAGUGGGGGGACAACCUGGGGGAAACUCAGGCUAAUACCGCAUACGCCCUACCGGGGGAAAGCAGGGGAUCUUCGGACCUUGCGCUAUUAGAUGAGCCUGCGUCGGAUUAGCUUGUUGGUGGGGUAAAGGCCUACCAAGGCGACGAUCCGUAGCUGGUUUGAGAGGACGAUCAGCCACACUGGGACUGAGACACGGCCCAGACUCCUACGGGAGGCAGCAGUGGGGAAUCUUGGACAAUGGGCGCAAGCCUGAUCCAGCCAUGCCGCGUGAGUGAUGAAGGCCUUAGGGUCGUAAAGCACUGUGGGGAGAGACGAAACAGCGCAGUAGGAAAUGACUGCGCCUUGACGGUACCUCCUUAGCAAGCACCGGCUAACUCUGUG